CCGAGUUUACAACUCCCAAACCCCUGUGAACAUACCUAUACGUUGCCUCGGCGGGUUCGCCCGUCGGAGGCCCAGCAACCAAACGCUUUAUAAUAACCGUGUCGUCUGAGCGAAGCAUACGCAAUCUGAAAUCA
RNAcentral lists this unclassified non-coding RNA (134 nucleotides) under uncultured Ascomycota. Its description in RNAcentral is "sequence contains ITS1". Lineage: Eukaryota; Fungi; Ascomycota. The record is from RNAcentral.